Molecule: transfer RNA, 72 nt
Filed under: Camelus bactrianus (Bactrian camel)
Lineage: Eukaryota; Metazoa; Chordata; Mammalia; Artiodactyla; Camelidae
Also listed under: 1 other name
Rfam family: tRNA
About the family: Transfer RNA (tRNA) molecules are approximately 80 nucleotides in length. Their secondary structure includes four short double-helical elements and three loops (D, anti-codon, and T loops).
Source: Rfam by way of RNAcentral
GAGGGUAUAGCCCAGAGGUAGAGCAUGUGCUUAGCAUGCAGGAGGUCCUGGGUUCAAUCCCCAGCACCUCCA